ACAAGAAAAACAUCCUGUUCCUGUAGUUUGGCGGCUAAUCUAGCUAGUUAGAUAAAAACAACACAGAUGAUUUGUUUAUAUAACCGUUACCAUCUUUACGUUUACGAAACCGAAUGCUUAUUACGAGCUACUCCGAAUUCUAAAUACAAAAAAAUAUUACCGGUGAUGGAGUGGAGACUGAGGCUGCUAGACUUUUAAGAUGCACCCAGGGGAGGUUGCGCACCCCCAAAUCGGCCACAUGACAAAUAUUACUGUGGACAUCCCUCCCAACAUAAUUUCAACGGUCUAUGGGGCACCCAAUACAUUGCAACUCUAAAGUUUGGCAGGGGCCCUGGCCCAAUGCAUCUCUGUGCAAGAGGAGUCACUGCAGUACCUGGUUUGAAUCCAGGCUGCAUUCAAUCACCGGCUGUGAUUGUGAGUCCAAUAGGGUGGUGCACAAUUGGCAGUCUUGUAAAUAAGAAUUUGUUCUUAACUGACUUGCCUGGUUAAAUAAAAAAUCAAGGCAUUUUAGCAGUUGACUGCAGCAAGAUGAUGAUAAACUAAGUCCAUGUGAGAUGAUGACAGAACUGUAUGGGAAUCAUUAUUACAGAUGACUAUCUAGAGGGACAAUCCCUCAGAGUCUCCACAUGAGACCUUGAUGGAGAAAGUGAGAAAAAUCACCAAAAAGUUGCAGAUGGACCAUAAGAAGAUUGCAAGUUCAUCUGCCUCAUCUAGAUAUGUGUGCAAUGCUUGAUAGUGUGUACGAUGUUAACAGAUAGGUAUUUUCUUCUGGGUGCUCUGAAGGGGAAGCUGUCCUCAAGGGGAAGCUGUCCUCAAGGGGAAGCUUCUAACUGUGGCUAAUGCCUGUAAUAUGACUCAGGGUUAUUACUCAACCAACUAGAGUGCAUACCAAUAGUGUUGGAUCUGUGACAUCCACUUGUAUUGAUCAUAUCUUCAAUAAUGCUGCAUGGCUAUGCUCCAAAACAAUAUCAGUUCCCAUUGGCUGUAGUGACCAUAACAUUGUGGCAAUAACAAGGAAAGCCAAAGGUUGGGCCUAAAGUAAUUUAUAAGAUAUCACACAAAGUGUUUUCUCAGGACUAUUUUGUUGAAUAUGUAAAAAAAAUGUAUGUUGGUCUGAUGUGUAUGAAGAAGUGAAUCCAGAUGCAGCACUGGAAGUUAUUCAUGCCAAUUGUUGCCAAGCAUGCACCUGUUAAGGAAUUAACUGUGAGAACUGUUGGAGCCCUCUGGAUGGAUGAUGAAUUGAAAAUUUGUAUAGUUCAAAGAAAUGGUGUAAAAGAGGGGGCAAACAAGUCAGGCUGGUCAGCUGAUUCGUUGACAUACUGUAAAUUGGGAAAUGUACAAAAAGAAGAAACUACCAAAUCAAGAUAAAUUACAUAAAACACAGUGGAAAAAGACUUUGGAGUACCUUAAAUUACAUGGGCAGAAUACCCAAUUAAUCUUCCUCAUUCAUUGAAGUUGAUGGGUAAUUUAUAACAAAACCUUUUGAUAUUGGCAAUCAUUUCAAUGACUGUUUCACUAGUAAAGUGGAAAAACUCAGAAGUGAAAUUAAAACAUUGGUCAGUGAACCAUCAUUUUUGUAUAAAAUGUAUAAUAAUGAAAGAGAUGAAUGGCUGUUUUGAAUUUGGUCAAAUUAGUGUGGGAGUUGGAAAAAACUAUUGUUGUCAUCAAUAAUGAUAAGCCAACAGGUAUAGAAAACCUUGAUGAGAAAAUAUUGAGAAUGGUAGCAGACUGUAUUGCCACCCCUAUUUGCUAUAUCUUUAACCAAAGCCUAAAAUAGGGUGUCCACAGGCGUAGAAGGAAGCUAAAGUAAUUCCACAACCUAAAAAUAGUAAAACAGCCUUUUUUGACUCUAAUAGCUGCCCAAUAGCUGCCCAAUCAGUUUCGCUGCCUGCUCUUAGUAAACUGAUGGAGCGAAUUGUGUUUGACCAAAUACAAUGCUAUUUUUCAGAGAACAAGUUAACUGCUGACAUUCAGCAUGCAUAGAGAAGGGCACUCAACUUGUGCUGCACUGACUCAGAUGACAGAUGAUUGCUUAAGAUAAAUGGAUAAUAUGAUAGUUGGAGCUGUAUUAUUUUCAGUGCAGCCUUUGAGUUUCUUCAAUAACUAUUUAUGAUCAAUAACAUCACUUGCUUUGGCUUUACAUCACCUGAAAUCACAUGGUUGGAGAGUUAUUUAUCCAAUAGAACCAAGGGAGUGUUCUUCAAUGGAAGCUUCUCUAGCAUCACAGUACAGUGUCCCUUAGGGCAGUUGCAUUGAGCCAUUACUCUUCCCUAUUUAAAAAAUUAUUUGCAACUGGUCUUACACAUGUAUGUCUGUUAUGAAAAGAUGUUAGAUGUUCUGCGUUUUUUCCUCAAAAAUCAACUGUACUAGUUGUUCAGACUCUGGUCUUGUCCCAUCUUGAUUAGUGUCUGGUAAUAUGGUCAAGUGCAGCAAAGAAAGACCUAUUAAAGGCACAGCUGGCUCAAAACAGAGCAAUACGCCAAAUCCAGAUUGUCUGCAUAAUCAAAUAACAUUCAGCUCAGACACCCAUACAUAUCCACAACACAUGCCACCAGGGGUCUCUUCACAGUCCCCAAAUCCAAAACGAAUUCACGACCAUAUUCACAGUAUUGCACAGAGCCAGGACUGCAUGGAACUCCCUUCCAUUCUCCAAUUACUCAAGCUAACAGCAAAAUUACCUUUUAAAAAGGGAAUAAACAACAUGUCAUGGAUCGGCGUUGACAAACACAUGCACACACAAAUUAUUUGUUUUACUUGUAUUGUUUGAAUUAUUAUAAUUGUCUUGUUUAUAUAUCGUUGUGUUUAAAAUGUGUGCGACUGUCUAUCAGUGUACCAGUGUUUUGUUACUUCUCAUGUUUUGUGUUUUUUUGGACCCCAUGGAAUAGUUUCUACCUCAGCAAAAGCUAAUGGGGAAACAAAUA
Salvelinus fontinalis (brook trout) is the source of this 2921-nucleotide long non-coding RNA. RefSeq lists it as uncharacterized. The record is from RefSeq and is a predicted model, not a curated record. The transcript has 2 exons. Lineage: Eukaryota; Metazoa; Chordata; Actinopteri; Salmoniformes; Salmonidae.